CACCAGCAGUAUGAAACUUGGGUCGUGAAUACCCAUCGAUCAGAGACAGGUUCGUAUCCAUGAAUCUUGAUUCCUGAUCGAAACUCCUGAUUGUCGUCGAUCCUGAUAAAGAUUCAGCAAAGUCCCUAACGUUGGGAGCCUUGCAAACUCCAACAAGACGUGCUAACUCUCGUGCUGUCGGGACGUAAUAUUGCUGUGGAAUGACAAACAUAAGCAACAUCAGAGGAAGUUACCUGAAGAUUUAUCAUGUUACAGUAUCAUUCUAUUAGGGAUUGAAGUGAUCCAUGAUCAGAUUGUGUACAUAUAUAUCUUAGAAGAUUAGCAAACAUUUAAAAAAAUAAUUAAAAACUAAA
Magnolia sinica is the source of this 353-nucleotide long non-coding RNA. RefSeq lists it as uncharacterized. NCBI's taxonomy places the organism in Eukaryota, Viridiplantae, Streptophyta, Magnoliopsida, Magnoliales, Magnoliaceae. The transcript is spliced from 2 exons. The record is from RefSeq and is a predicted model, not a curated record.